Molecule: long non-coding RNA, 217 nt
Filed under: Setaria italica (foxtail millet)
Lineage: Eukaryota; Viridiplantae; Streptophyta; Magnoliopsida; Poales; Poaceae
Description: long non-coding RNA (SITA_LNC002125)
Source: RNAcentral
AUGAUCAAGUGCAUUCAUAUCCGAGAAUUGUGGCGAUCCGGACCGAUUUACAUCCUGCAGGAGAUACCCGACCACCAGCUACGCACAGCUGAUCGGGUUGCACAUAACGACCUUUCGAUUAGAUGUACCCAACAAUCGAAAAUAUGACUACUCGAACCCAGAGCCGCACCCCCACAUGGAAUCCCACGUCUGGCGAUCUCCACUGUGAGUUUCAGGC